UACGUAGGAUCCGAGCGUUAUCCGGAUUUAUUGGGUUUAAAGGUUGCGCAGGCGGGAUGUUAAGUCGGCGGUGAAAUUUUGCAGCUCAACUGUAAAAGUGCCUUCGAUACUGGCUUUCUUGAGUGUGGAUGAAGUAGGCGGAAUUUGUGGUGUAGCGGUGAAAUGCAUAGAUAUCACGAGGAACUCCGAUUGCGCAGGCAGCUUACUAGGCCAUAACUGACGCUCAUGCACGAAGGCGUGGGGAUCAAACAGGAUUAGA
Molecule: ribosomal RNA, 259 nt
Filed under: uncultured prokaryote
Description: partial 16S ribosomal RNA
Rfam family: Bacterial small subunit ribosomal RNA
Source: RNAcentral